RNAcentral lists this ribosomal RNA (301 nucleotides) under uncultured bacterium. RNAcentral's name for it is "partial 16S ribosomal RNA". It matches the Rfam family "Bacterial small subunit ribosomal RNA", at positions 509 to 809 of the family's 1533-position model. The record is from RNAcentral.
CAGCCGCCACGGGAAUACGUAGGUGGCGAGCGUUGUCCGGAAUUAUUGGGCGUAAAGGGAGCGCAGGCGGACAUAUAAGUCCAUCUUAAAAGUGCGGGGCUCAACCCCGUGAGGGGAUGGAAACUGUAUGCCUUGAGUGCAGGAGAGGAAAGCGGAAUUCCCAGUGUAGCGGUGAAAUGCGUAGAUAUUGGGAGGAACACCAGUGGCGAAGGCGGCUUUCUGGACUGUAACUGACGCUGAGGCUCGAAAGCCAGGGGAGCGAACGGGAUUAGAGACCCCCGUAGUCCCUGUCUCUUAUACA